Molecule: transfer RNA, 75 nt
Filed under: Tilletia horrida
Lineage: Eukaryota; Fungi; Basidiomycota; Exobasidiomycetes; Tilletiales; Tilletiaceae
Description: tRNA-Thr
Rfam family: tRNA
About the family: Transfer RNA (tRNA) molecules are approximately 80 nucleotides in length. Their secondary structure includes four short double-helical elements and three loops (D, anti-codon, and T loops).
Source: RNAcentral
GCCUCCAUAGUUUAGUGGUAAAACAGGGCUCUCGUACGUCAAGCUCAGCCCGGUGUUCGAUUCACCGUGGAGGCA